GCUGGCGUAGCUCAAUUGGCAGAGCAGCUGAUUUGUAAUCAGCAGGUUGCGGGUUCAAUUCCCAUCGCCAGCU
Molecule: transfer RNA, 73 nt
Filed under: Desulfobulbus sp. Tol-SR
Lineage: Bacteria; Pseudomonadati; Thermodesulfobacteriota; Desulfobulbia; Desulfobulbales; Desulfobulbaceae
Rfam family: tRNA
About the family: Transfer RNA (tRNA) molecules are approximately 80 nucleotides in length. Their secondary structure includes four short double-helical elements and three loops (D, anti-codon, and T loops). Further hydrogen bonds mediate the characteristic L-shaped molecular structure. tRNAs have two regions of fundamental functional importance: the anti-codon, which is responsible for specific mRNA codon recognition, and the 3' end, to which the tRNAs corresponding amino acid is attached (by aminoacyl-tRNA synthetases). tRNAs cope with the degeneracy of the genetic code in two manners: having more than one tRNA (with a specific anti-codon) for a particular amino acid; and 'wobble' base-pairing, i.e. permitting non-standard base-pairing at the 3rd anti-codon position.
Source: Rfam by way of RNAcentral